UACGGAGGUGACGAACGUUGUCCGGAAUUAUUGGGCGUAAAGGGCGCGUAGGCGGCUUUAUAAGUCGGGGGUGAAAGCCUGUGGCUCAACCACAGAAUUGCCUUCGAUACUGUAGAGCUUGAGACCGGAAGAGGUAAGUGGAACUGCGAGUGUAGAGGUGAAAUUCGUAGAUAUUCGCAAGAACACCAGUGGCGAAGGCGGCUUACUGGUCCGGUUCUGACGCUGAGGCGCGAAAGCGUGGGGAGCAAACAGG
RNAcentral lists this ribosomal RNA (253 nucleotides) under uncultured bacterium. RNAcentral's name for it is "partial 16S ribosomal RNA". It matches the Rfam family "Bacterial small subunit ribosomal RNA", at positions 524 to 776 of the family's 1533-position model. The record is from RNAcentral.